CCUACGGGGGGCAGCAGUGGGGAAUAUUGCACAAUGCGGGAAACCGUGAUGCAGCGACGCCGCGUGAGUGAAGAAGUACUUCGUUACGUAAAGCUCUUUCAGCAGGGAAGAAAAUGCCGGUACCUGAGUAAGAAUCCCUGGCUAACUACGUGCCAGCAGCCGCGGUAUUACGUAGGGGCCAAGCGUUAUCCGGAUUUACUGGGUGUAAAGGGGGCGUAGACGGCAGUGCAAGACUGGAGGGAAGGGCGAGGGCUCAACCCCUGGACUGCUCCGGAAACUAUACGGCUGGAGUGCUGGAGAGGAAAGUAGAAUUCCUAGUGUAGCGGUGAAAUGCGUAGAUAUUAGGAGGAACACCAGUAGCGAAGGCGGCUUACUGGACUGUAACUGACGUUGAGGCGCGAAAGCGUGGGGAGCAAACAGGAUUAGAUACCCGAGUAGUC
RNAcentral lists this ribosomal RNA (440 nucleotides) under uncultured bacterium. RNAcentral describes it as "partial 16S ribosomal RNA". It matches the Rfam family "Bacterial small subunit ribosomal RNA", at positions 338 to 795 of the family's 1533-position model. The record is from RNAcentral.